UGGAGUCUGCAACUCGACUCCAUGAAGUCGGAAUUGCUAGUAAUCGUAGGUCAGCAUACUACGGUGAAUACGUUCCCGGGCCUUGUACACACCGCCCGUCAAACCAUGAGAGUCGGCAACACCCGAAGUCGGUAGUCUAACCGCAAGGAGGACGCCGCCGAAGGUGGGGUUGAUGAUUAGGGUUAAGUCGUAACAAGGUAUC
RNAcentral lists this ribosomal RNA (202 nucleotides) under uncultured bacterium. Its description in RNAcentral is "partial 16S ribosomal RNA". It matches the Rfam family "Bacterial small subunit ribosomal RNA", at positions 1299 to 1500 of the family's 1533-position model. The record is from RNAcentral.